Molecule: ribosomal RNA, 451 nt
Filed under: uncultured bacterium
Lineage: Bacteria
Description: partial 16S ribosomal RNA
Rfam family: Bacterial small subunit ribosomal RNA
Source: RNAcentral
AACGAACGCUGGCGGCAGGCUUAACACAUGCAAGUCGAACGGGCAUAGCAAUAUGUCAGUGGCAGACGGGUGAGUAACACGUGGGAACCUUCCUAGAGGUACGGAACAACGCAGGGAAACUUGCGCUAAUACCGUAUACGCUCUUGCGAGGAAAGAUUUAUCGCCUUUAGACGGGCCCGCGUCGGAUUAGCUAGUUGGUGAGGUAACGGCUCACCAAGGCGACGAUCCGUAGCUGAUCUGAGAGGAUGAUCAGCCACACUGGGACUGAGACACGGCCCAGACUCCUACGGGAGGCAGCAGUGGGGAAUCUUGGACAAUGGGCGCAAGCCUGAUCCAGCCAUGCCGCGUGAGUGAAGAAGGCCUUCGGGUUGUAAAGCUCUUUUGUCAGGGACGAUAAUGACGGUACCUGAAGAAUAAGCCCCGGCAAACUUCGUGCCAGCCGCCGCCGUAA